This is a long non-coding RNA of Polypterus senegalus (gray bichir), 5582 nucleotides long. RefSeq lists it as uncharacterized. The record is from RefSeq and is a predicted model, not a curated record. Lineage: Eukaryota; Metazoa; Chordata; Cladistia; Polypteriformes; Polypteridae. The transcript has 2 exons.
ACUGACUGCUGUCUCUGUUCCAUUUUUCUCAGUUUGUCAGAAAACCAGUCCCUACUGAAGAUGCCUCCAUGGGCGAACAUGUGGCUGGUUGGAGCCAUUUGCUUAUCCAUGGCCCUCCAUUUCCUUAUUCUUUAUGUGGACCCUUUACCGGUGAUCUUCCAGAUACGGCCACUGAGCACAAUCCAGUGGGUGACCGUCCUGAAGAUGUCCAUUCCUGUGAUUUUGAUCGAUGAGGUGCUUAAAUUUUUGGCCCGCAAUUACGUAGACCCCGGCCGUGACCUCGAGCAAGAGGAAGAGGAGGCAGCAGCACGACAUGGGCAGCGACAAAGCAGCCCGCUAAACAGGCUGCAGCGAUCCUUGCGGGGGGUGUCCUGGUCCUUUGUCUUGAUUGUCACUCCUCUUCUGGUCUGGCUAUAUAGCCUGGACACCGACAUCACCAACAUCUUUUGGUCUUAAAGAUGGCCGCUCUGGAAAUAUGAAUGAGAAUGGCAUUGUGUACCCUGUGCAUGGACAAGCCUGUCUGUGCCCCCGCAAUACAGCAUGCAACACGUGUGAAGCUUUACUGUCCAUAACCUGGCGUUAAAACAUCCUGGACAGCCUGGCUGUGCCCAGCACAAAGCAAACAAUGCCUUGUUAACCGCCAGAAAAAAAGCAAGCUGCAAGAACAAGGGAUUUUACUUUUUUGUGCUUUUUUUUUUGUUAAUUUGUUUUGUAUCUUUUUACUUUGUUAAAAAAAAAAAAUAUUUAUUGAUAAUCAAUCCAUCCACAGAUAGAUACAUUCCAUUUAAAGCAGAGCUCUUACCGAGCUGUUAUUCCUUGAGUUGAAGAGGCCAAGUUUUAGGGGCCUGUUAUGGGUCACCACUAAAAUCUAACUCUCCUAAUCCUCUCCUCAGUAGGGACAUUCAGCAUUACAAAGUCCCCUCCACAUCUGAGGGUCUACCAUCAUCUAAUUGCUGUCCUCUUUCUACACUCCUUGGUGUGUCCAUAAGCAUGUGUUUCUCACAUGGCAUGAUGCAAGGUGAGUUUAAAGCUUAUCUUGGCAAAGUUACAUUCAGAGCAGAGGUCCAUUUUGCUGGCUUUCAGCGUCCGGACCGAUUUGCUACAGCACUUCACAGAUUGCUUUAAAUUCCCGUAAGACUUGGUCCUGUCAGCCGAAGGAAACCUCCCAUUUUGAUCCUUCUUGGCUAUAAAGGUUGAUCUCGGAUACCCUCCCUGCCUGUUUAGACUUGGGUUUCUAUCCCUGUAUAAGUUAGCUAGAACAUCUUGUCAGGACCAUCUUAGUCUGUUUGCUUUGCUCAGCAAAUAUGAGCUUAUGCCCUCCUAUCCAAGUUGGCUGUUAUACUUGGGUAUACAUUUUAAAUUAAUCCCAGUAACCUCCCUGGUUGAGUCAUUCAUUCAUUUCCUCUAACCUCCCAGCCUGGUUUAAUUAGCUAUGGUUACCUUCACAGGUCCAUCUCAUUUUAAUUCUUCAUGUGGUUAGGCCUACCAACCUACAGAUUGCACUUAAAUAUCUGCAGUGCUUUAACUCUUCCACCCAACCAACCUUGACUCAUCUUCUUACUUGUGAAGCUUAGUCUGUUCCAUCCUAAUAACAUCCCAGUCUGAUCUUUCUUUGGUAUAAUCAUAAUGACCUUCCUGGUUGGGCCAUUCAUUCAUUUCAUUUAAGCUCCUAGUCUGGUUUAAUAAGACAAAGUGCCUACUGAGGUCCAUCUCAUUUAAGCAUGUUGUGUGGUUAGGCCUUCAAACCGACAGAUUGCACUUAAAUAUCUGUAGUGCUUUAACUCAUCAACUCAACCAGACUAGCUUGAUCCUCCGAGCUACGGAGCUUAGGCUGGUCCAUCCCAAUAACCUUCCAGUCCAAACUUUCAUAGGUUUGAAGCUUAGUCAGGUUAAUCUCUUUAAUCUUCCCAGUUGGCCAUUCAUUAAUUUCCUACAAGCUCCCAACCCGGGUUUUAAUACCUAUAGUGCCUACUCAGGUCCAUCUCGGUUUAAUGCUUUGGGUAGUUAGGCUUACCAACUUCUGAAUCACACUUCAAUAUCUGUAGUGCUUUAUCUCAUCCACCCAACCAACAUACAGUAGACCCGUCUUCCUACCUAUGAAACUUAGUUUGGCCCAUCCUAAUAACAUCCCAGUCAGAUCUUUCUUCUAUUUGUCUUGGUAAACAUUCUGUCUGAUCCUACUACUUAUGGGAAAUUGCCACCCAUACAAAAAAUGUGAAAACAAAUCAGAAACCAUUUAUGGAAAACAAAAAAUAAUCAUAAAUGUACAAAAAUAUGGUUGCAUAAGAGUGUACACCCCUAAACUAAUAUGUUGUUGAAGCGGCUUAUGAUUGAUUGUAUUGCAGUACUCGGUCUAUCAGCUUGGCACAUCUUGACUCGGCAAUAUCUUCCCCUUCUUCCUUGCAAAAAUGUCCGCGAUCCAUCAGAUUACAAAGGCAUUUCCUGUGCACAGCCCUCUUCAGGUCAUGCCGCAGAUUUUUAACUGGAUUUAUUCAGGUCUGGGCUCAGGAUAGUCUAUUCUGCUUAUAGAACGUCAGUCUUUUGGCGAAGUCAUUCCUUUGAGGAUUUGGAUGUAGGCUUUGGGUUGUUGUCAUGCUGAAAGGUGAAAUUCUGCUUCAUCUUCAACUUCCUAGCAGACAUUUGAAGGUUUUGCUCCAAAAUCAACUGGUCCACCUUGACUAAAGCCACAGUCCCUGCUGAAGAAGCGCAUGAUGCUCUCACCACCAUGCCUCAUCGUUUGCAUGCUGUACUUUUGGUGAUGUUCUGUUUUAUUUUUGCAACAAACUUACAUUUUGGAACAAUGGCCAGGAAGUUCAAUCCUACUUUCAUCACAUUUUUCUGCAUGGUUUUGGUAGACUUGGAUGUAUCAAGCUGGGCUUGGAUGUUGCUCUUCAUGAGACAAGACUUCAAUUUUGUCGCCUUUCCCUAUAGCCGAGACAUGUAAAGAAUACAGGAAAUUGUUGUCACAUGUAGGGAGCAACCAGAACUUGCCAGGAAGUCCUGCAGCUCCUUUAAUAUUGCCGUAGGCCUCUUGGCAGUCUCCCCAGCCAGUUUUCUCCUUGUUCUUCUUAUCUCCUUCUUAGUUUGGAAGGAAUAUCCAGUUUUUGGUGGCAUCGCUGCUGUGCUAUAUUUUCUCUAUUUGUUGAUGAAUGUCUUCACUGUGUUCGUUGGUAUAUCUAAUGAUUUUGUUUUUUCUUUUGUACCCGUAAUCAGUACCUUUUAAUAAUGAGAUCUUGGUCGUGUUUUGAAAGCUCUUUAUGGACCAUGUCUUUUAGAGUAGGAAUGCAACCAAGAAGAUUUCAGGAUGAUCCUACAGGAAGAGCUGAACUUUAUUUGGAGGCAAUCCGUUAUUUUAAUUCAUGGCAGUUGUAAACUGUUGUUUAACAUGAGAUUGAAUGUAUUUGGUUGACUCUAAACACAGCCACAUCCUUAAUUAUAAUAUUUCUGUGCAAACUUCUGUGCACGCUUAUGCAACCAAGUCUUUGUAAGGUUUUUAAUUUUGAUUUUAAUUUUUUUAUUCGUUUUUUUCUUAAAGCUUACUGAUUUGUUUUUACCUACUUUGUAUAGGUCGCUCUGUCUUAGUGGUGCAGUUCAAGUAUCUCGUGAUCUGGGAAAAGGGAACGCAAGUGGAUUGGAGUGGCGGGCUGCUGUUCUGUGGACGCUUUACCGGUUCGUGACGCUGAAAUCUUAAGACAAAACUCUGUUUCCCGGUCAAUCUACAUUCCUGUCCUUAACUAUGGUCAUGAUUUGUGGGUAAUGACCAAAACAAAGAGAUCAAAAGUACAAGCAGCAGAAAUGAGGCCUCGUCACAGGGCCACUAUGUUGACAAUCUGUAAUAGGGUGUGAAGCUUAGGGAUUUGGGAGAACCUCAGCAUAGAAUCGCUACUCCUAUGGAUCUAGAGGACCUAGUGGAGGUGGUUUGGACAUGUUGUAAGGAUACACCCCCAGGCAGUUCCCCUAGAGUACUCUUGCUACAACCCACUAGGCGGAGACACUGAGGCAGACCCAGGACACACUGGAGGGAUUAUAUCUCUCAGCUGGCUUGGGAACACCUUGGAAUUUUCCAGUUAGAGCUGAAAUCUGUAGCUGGCGACAGGGAAGUCUGGGCUGACCCGUUAGUCCAGUGUGGCCCUCACCAGGAAAAGCAAUUUGAAAAAAUUGAGAUGAUUUCUCUUUUUACAUCACAAAAGCCUACAUUUUCAAUAGGGACAUGUUCACUGUAUAGCCCCCAUCAUUUUUCCAGAAAUUUCCAAUCAGGGCCUUUAUUUACUUAGCAAGUCAUGAAUAGUCUCCUCACGUGCAUGUGACUACCGAUCAUGUAGUGUGACAUCCACAUUGACUUAGUUGUAGUGCUCUGCGACUACCAACAACAAUUUGUCUCAAGUUGUGUGAGAGAUGACCACCAAUGUAUACAAAGACCACACAUUGAGAAGAACUCUCUAUUUGGUGGCUUCAAGCAAUGGUGGUCUCAAGAAACUAAGGAAAAUGUGAGUUCUGAACUGCACACUUCAUGGAGGUUAGGGAGCCGGCUCGGAUGUCUCGCAAUUGUCUCGUCUUUGUCAUGCCACAUGUGGAAAAAGGAAAAAAUACACUGUCCAUUGAUUGGCUUCCAAAAGGUGUCAACCUCUUGAUAAUUUCACCGAGCAACACGAAAAUUUCAAACUCUGCAAGCAUUGAGCUUGAUACUCCCUUCCAGUUGAUGUCAGGGGCCAUAAACAUAUCUUUCCAUCAUGACACUUAGUCUGGUCUAUCCAGGUAAUGUUUCAACUUCUGGUUUGUCCAGUCAGUCUGGUUUUUGUAAGAGAGAAUCGAUGAGACUAAGUCCCCUAAGUGAAGGUCCAGCCUGAAUUUCCUUAACUAGGAAGCUUGGUCCUAACGUAAUCUUCCUAUCUGUUAGACUUAUUCUUACCAUUCCCAGUGACCUCCAUUGUCAGGUAGUCCUUGUUAUGAAGUUUGAUGUUCCACCCAAGGCGUUCAGCUGUUGUCCCAGCAUCUCUUUAGACUAGGAGGUUCUCUGUUUAGACCUAACGGCGCCCAAGCCGAGUACUGAUUGGUCAGGGAGGAUCUCAGACCAGGUCUUAUUGUUUUUGGUGAAGUGCUGACCGUGUAACUGGUAACAUCAAGGUGGACCUGAUCUGAAGUCAGGUCUGAUGGUUUUCUGUGAAGUGUUGACCAAUUGACCGGUAACAUCAGGAUGGAGCUGAUCUCCGAUCAGGUCUGAUGGUUUUCUGUGAAGUGCUGACCAAGUGACAUGGUGUAUAGGGUGGAUAGCAACAUCGCCACACGUAAAACAAACACUACUCAUGGGGUCUGCUGUUGCAGCCUUCGGCUAUUAGUUGACAACUUGCAUUUCACUUUGUGAACAUAAUGAAGGGCUGAUUUUUUUUUUUUAAUCCUAGCUGAAACGAUAGUUUCUGUUCCAUCUGUCUUGGUUCUAUUUAUCAUUUCACACAUUCCCAAAAAGUUUUGAGUGCACCACAUUUCUGAAAACAGUAAACUUAUACCCUUUUUUUCUUAAUUUGUCUUAACUGUACAGCAGCUUCAUCAAUAUUAUAAGAAAUGGAAUUUGUUUAAUAAUUAAA